AGAGUUUGAUCCUGGCUCAGAACGAACGUUGGCGGCAUGGAUUAGGCAUGCAAGUCGAACGAAUCCCGGGGUAGCAAUACCUCGGGGGAAGUGGCGAAAGGGGCAGUAAUACCUGGAUAACCUACCCUGGGGUUGGGCAUAGCCGUUCUAACGAGCGGGUAAUUCCCAGCGAGUCGGCGAGUUGGCAUCAAUUUGCCGGGAAAGAAUUUCGCCUCGGGAGGGGUCCAGGAGCUAUCAGCUAGUUGGCGGGGUAACGGCCCACCAAGGCGUAGACGGCUAGCGGGUGUGAGAGCACGACCCGCGCCACUGGCACUGAGACACUGGCCAGACACCUACGGGUGGCUGCAGUCGAGGAUCUUCGUCAAUGGGCGCAAGCCUGAACGAGCGAUGCCGCGUGAGCGAUGAAGGCCUUCGGGUUGUAAAGCUCAAAAGGGAUGAGAAAGGGAAACUUGAUCGAAUCCCAGUAAGCUCGGGCUAAGUUCGUGCCAGCAGCCGCGGUAAUAC
This 504-nucleotide ribosomal RNA is filed under the name uncultured bacterium. RNAcentral's name for it is "bacterial SSU rRNA". It matches the Rfam family "Bacterial small subunit ribosomal RNA", at positions 8 to 526 of the family's 1533-position model. The record is from RNAcentral.